CCACAGGCCACCUGGUUGUGAGUGAACGGGGGGAAAGAGGGGAUAACCGACAGCGGAUAAUGACAUGAUGGUUCCCGUUGUAGAGCGAGCAGAGGGGGGCUCCAGGUGUCUUUAAUGACCAGGGGGAGAAAAGCAUCUCCGCACCGGGCUUUACAGUGGAGCAGAGUACGCCACCGGAGUGACAACAAAACAAACAAGGUUUCUCAAACAAGCCGUCGGAAUUUCCUUCAGUCCAAGAGGGGGGCUUUGCAGCACAGUCCAGGAUGCUAUCCCCCAGAUGGUGACUUCCACAGGUAAUAAAGGACCCAAGUAUAAACCAUUGCCCAAAAGGUGGAUAAGGACAUGUUGUUCAUGUGGUGUAGCUGAUCUGUGUUCUGCACCCUGGGGU
This is a long non-coding RNA of Myripristis murdjan (pinecone soldierfish), 388 nucleotides long. RefSeq lists it as uncharacterized. The transcript has 3 exons. The record is from RefSeq and is a predicted model, not a curated record. NCBI's taxonomy places the organism in Eukaryota, Metazoa, Chordata, Actinopteri, Holocentriformes, Holocentridae.